UGCCAGCCGCCGCGGUAACACGGGGGGCGCAAGCGUUAUUCGGAAUUAUUGGGCGUAAAGGGCGCGCAGGCGGUCUUGUCCGUCAGGUGUGAAAGCUCGGGGCUCAACCCCGGAAGUGCACUUGAAACAGCAAGACUUGAAUACGGUAGAGGAGAGAGGAAUUCCUGGUGUAGAGGUGAAAUUCGUAGAUAUCAGGAGGAACACCGAUGGCGAAGGCAUCUCUUUAGCAAAAACUGACGUUGAGGGACGAAAGUAUGGGUAGCAAACAGGAUUAGAUA
This 278-nucleotide ribosomal RNA is filed under the name uncultured bacterium. Its description in RNAcentral is "partial 16S ribosomal RNA". It matches the Rfam family "Bacterial small subunit ribosomal RNA", at positions 506 to 784 of the family's 1533-position model. The record is from RNAcentral.